RNAcentral lists this ribosomal RNA (585 nucleotides) under uncultured bacterium. RNAcentral describes it as "partial 16S ribosomal RNA". It matches the Rfam family "Bacterial small subunit ribosomal RNA", at positions 355 to 937 of the family's 1533-position model. The record is from RNAcentral.
UGGGGAAUUUUGGACAAUGGGCGAAAGCCUGAUCCAGCAAUGCCGCGUGUGUGAAGAAGGCCUUCGGGUUGUAAAGCACUUUUGUCCGGAAAGAAAUCCUUGGCUCUAAUACAGUCGGGGGAUGACGGUACCGGAAGAAUAAGCACCGGCUAACUACGUGCCAGCAGCCGCGGUAAUACGUAGGGUGCAAGCGUUAAUCGGAAUUACUGGGCGUAAAGCGUGCGCAGGCGGUUUGCUAAGACCGAUGUGAAAUCCCCGGGCUCAACCUGGGAACUGCAUUGGGUGACUGGCAGGCUAGAGUAUGGCAGAGGGGGGUAGAAUUCCACGUGUAGCAGUGAAAUGCGUAGAGAUGUGGAGGAAUACCGAUGGCGAAGGCAGCCCCCUGGGCCAAUACUGACGCUCAUGCACGAAAGCGUGGGGAGCAAACAGGAUUAGAUACCCUGGUAGUCCACGCCCUAAACGAUGUCAACUAGUUGUUGGGGAUUCAUUUCCUUAGUAACGUAGCUAACGCGUGAAGUUGACCGCCUGGGGAGUACGGUCGCAAGAUUAAAACUUAAAGGAAUUGACGGGGUCAUAGCUGUUUCC